Molecule: ribosomal RNA, 1353 nt
Filed under: uncultured marine eukaryote
Lineage: Eukaryota
Description: SSU rRNA
Rfam family: Eukaryotic small subunit ribosomal RNA
Source: RNAcentral
GGGGCAUCAGGCAGGCGCAGGCGCGCAAUUACCCAUUCCCGACUCGGGGAGGUAGUGACGAAAAAUAACAAUUCAAGACUCGAAACGAGGCCUUGAAGUUGGAAUGAGUACACUUUAAAAUUUUUAACGAGUAUCUAUUGGAGGGCAAGUCUGGUGCCAGCAGCCGCGGUAAUUCCAGCUCCAAUAGCGUAUACUAAAGUUGUUGCGGUUAAAAAGCUCGUAGUUGGAUCUUGGAAUGUGAACGCGAGGUCGCUUUACUGAGUGAACUUUGUGGCGCAUUCUUCUAUUUGGUCGGUGUGUUUGUGCUCUUAAUUGAGUGCAACAUUCUACCAGAAAUUUUACCUUGAAAAAAUUAGAGUGUUCAAAGCAGACCUUUUUGUGUCUGAAUAUUCGUGCAUGGAAUAAUAAAAUAUGAAUUCGGUUCUAUUUUAUUGGUUUUCGGAACUCGAGUUAAUGAUUAAGGGGGACAGACGGGGGCAUCCGUACUCUGCCGUUAGAGGUGAAAUUCUUGGAUCGGCGGAAGACGCGCAACUGCGAAAGCAUUUGCCAAGAAUGUUUUCUUUAAUCAAGAACGAUAGUCGGAGGUUCGAAGACGAUCAGAUACCGUCCUAGUUUCGACUGUAAACUAUGCCAGCUAACGAUCAGGCAGCGUUCUCUACGACUUGCCUGGCAGUUUCCGGGAAACCAAAGCUUUUGGGUUCCGGGGGAAGUAUGGUUGCAAAGCUGAAACUUAAAGGAAUUGACGGAAGGGCACCACCAGGAGUGGAGCCUGCGGCUUAAUUUGACUCAACACGGGGAAACUCACCCGGCCCGGACACAGUGAGGAUUGACAGAUUGAGAGUUCUUUCUUGAUUCUGUGGGUGGUGGUGCAUGGCCGUUCUUAGUUGGUGGAGCGAUUUGUCUGGUUAAUUCCGAUAACGAACGAGACUCUGGCAUGUUAAAUAGUCACGGGAGUAAUUUUAACUCACCAUGAGACUUCUUAGAGGGACAAGUGAUUCUAAUCACACGAGAUUGAGCAAUAACAGGUCUGUGAUGCCCUUAGAUGUUCGGGGCCGCACGCGCGCUACAAUGAGUCGAUCAACGAGCGUAUAUUUUUAUCCAAGUCCGAAAGGUCGAGGUAAUCCGUUGAACCCGACUCGUGCUAGGGAUAGGGAAUUGUAAUUGUUUCCCUUGAACGAGGAAUUCCCAGUAAGCGCAAGUCAUCAGCUUGCGUUGAUUACGUCCCUGCCCUUUGUACACACCGCCCGUCGCUACUACCGAUUGAAUGGUUCAGUGAGAUAAUCGGACAGAUAACUUGGUAACUGGCAACGGUUAACGUGCAUAUUGGAAGACGAUCAAACCUGGUCCAUUUAG